AUUGAACGCUGGCGGCAGGCCUAACACAUGCAAGUCGAACGGUAACAGGAAGCAGCUUGCUGCUUUGCUGACGAGUGGCGGACGGGUGAGUAAUGUCUGGGAAACUGCCUGAUGGAGGGGGAUAACUACUGGAAACGGUAGCUAAUACCGCAUAACGUCGCAAGACCAAAGAGGGGGACCUUCGGGCCUCUUGCCAUCGGAUGUGCCCAGAUGGGAUUAGCUAGUAGGUGGGGUAACGGCUCACCUAGGCGACGAUCCCUAGCCGGUCUGAGAGGAUGACCAGCCACACUGGAACUGAGAAACGGUCCAGACUCCUACGGGAGGCAGCAGUGGGAAUAUUGCACAAUGGGCGCAAGCCUGAUGCAGCCAUGCCGCGUGUAUGAAGAAGGCCUUCGGGUUGUAAAGUACUUUCAGCGGGGAGGAAGGUGUUGAGGUUAAUAACCUCAGCAAUUGACGUUACCCGCAGAAGAAGCACCGGCUAACUCCGUGCCAGCCGCCGCCGUAA
Molecule: ribosomal RNA, 505 nt
Filed under: uncultured bacterium
Lineage: Bacteria
Description: partial 16S ribosomal RNA
Rfam family: Bacterial small subunit ribosomal RNA
Source: RNAcentral